Molecule: long non-coding RNA, 315 nt
Organism: Suricata suricatta (meerkat)
Lineage: Eukaryota; Metazoa; Chordata; Mammalia; Carnivora; Herpestidae
Exons: 3
Source: RefSeq, a predicted model, not a curated record
AAGAAGACAGUAAUACAUGUUGGCCAGGAAGAGAAGAAGCAGGAACUCUCUUAUGUUGCUGGGGUAUCAAGAUCCCCAAGAGAAAUGAAGAUUCUUGUCUACACGGGGACUUGAAUGUUAAUAUUCUCAGCAGCAUGUUCAUAAUAGCCAAAAAUUGCAAACAGAAAGUUAUCUGUCUGCUGGUGAAUGGAUAAGCAAAAUGAUAUAUCCAUACAAUGGAGUGCUUUUCAGGAAUAGGAGAAGUCAAAAGCAGAGAUUCACACUCUUCCUAACAGGCGCAGAAACCACAUUGCUGAUUUUGCUGGGUGACCUCAG